UUAAGUUAUUAAGGGCGCACGGUGGAUGCCUUGGCACUAGAAGCCGAUGAAGGACGUUACUAACGACGAUAUGCUUUGGGGAGCUGUAAGUAAGCUUUGAUCCAGAGAUUUCCGAAUGGGGAAACCCAGCAUGAGUUAUGUCAUGUUAUCGAUAUGUGAAUACAUAGCAUAUCAGAAGGCACACCCGGAGAACUGAAACAUCUUAGUACCCGGAGGAAGAGAAAGAAAAUUCGAUUCCCUUAGUAGCGGCGAGCGAAAUGGGAAGAGCCCAAACCAACAAGCUUGCUUGUUGGGGUUGUAGGACACUCUAUACGGAGUUACAAAGGACGACAUUAGACGAAUCAUCUGGAAAGAUGAAUCAAAGAAGGUAAUAAUCCUGUAGUCGAAAAUGUUGUCUCUCUUGAGUGGAUCCUGAGUACGACGGAGCACGUGAAAUUCCGUCGGAAUCUGGGAGGACCAUCUCCUAAGGCUAAAUACUCUCUAGUGACCGAUAGUGAACCAGUACCGUGAGGGAAAGGUGAAAGGCACCCCGGAAGGGGAGUGAAAUAGAACCUGAAACCGUGUGCUUACAAGUAGUCAGAGCCCGUUAAUGGGUGAUGGCGUGCCUUUUGUAGAAUGAACCGGCGAGUUACGAUUUGAUGCAAGGUUAAGCAGUAAAUGUGGAGCCGUAGCGAAAGCGAGUCUGAAUAGGGCGUUUAGUAUUUGGUCGUAGACCCGAAACCAGGUGAUCUACCCUUGGUCAGGUUGAAGUUCAGGUAACACUGAAUGGAGGACCGAACCGACUUACGUUGAAAAGUGAGCGGAUGAACUGAGGGUAGCGGAGAAAUUCCAAUCGAACCUGGAGAUAGCUGGUUCUCUCCGAAAUAGCUUUAGGGCUAGCCUCAAGUGAUGAUUAUUGGAGGUAGAGCACUGUUUGGACGAGGGGCCCCUCUCGGGUUACCGAAUUCAGACAAACUCCGAAUGCCAAUUAAUUUAACUUGGGAGUCAGAACAUGGGUGAUAAGGUCCGUGUUCGAAAGGGAAACAGCCCAGACCACCAGCUAAGGUCCCAAAAUAUAUGUUAAGUGGAAAAGGAUGUGGCGUUGCCCAGACAACUAGGAUGUUGGCUUAGAAGCAGCCAUCAUUUAAAGAGUGCGUAAUAGCUCACUAGUCGAGUGACACUGCGCCGAAAAUGUACCGGGGCUAAACAUAUUACCGAAGCUGUGGAUUGUCCUUUGGACAAUGGUAGGAGAGCGUUCUAAGGGCGUUGAAGCAUGAUCGUAAGGACAUGUGGAGCGCUUAGAAGUGAGAAUGCCGGUGUGAGUAGCGAAAGACGGGUGAGAAUCCCGUCCACCGAUUGACUAAGGUUUCCAGAGGAAGGCUCGUCCGCUCUGGGUUAGUCGGGUCCUAAGCUGAGGCCGACAGGCGUAGGCGAUGGAUAACAGGUUGAUAUUCCUGUACCACCUAUAAUCGUUUUAAUCGAUGGGGGGACGCAGUAGGAUAGGCGAAGCGUGCGAUUGGAUUGCACGUCUAAGCAGUAAGGCUGAGUAUUAGGCAAAUCCGGUACUCGUUAAGGCUGAGCUGUGAUGGGGAGAAGACAUUGUGUCUUCGAGUCGUUGAUUUCACACUGCCGAGAAAAGCCUCUAGAUAGAAAAUAGGUGCCCGUACCGCAAACCGACACAGGUAGUCAAGAUGAGAAUUCUAAGGUGAGCGAGCGAACUCUCGUUAAGGAACUCGGCAAAAUGACCCCGUAACUUCGGGAGAAGGGGUGCUCUUUAGGGUUAACGCCCAGAAGAGCCGCAGUGAAUAGGCCCAAGCGACUGUUUAUCAAAAACACAGGUCUCUGCUAAACCGUAAGGUGAUGUAUAGGGGCUGACGCCUGCCCGGUGCUGGAAGGUUAAGAGGAGUGGUUAGCUUCUGCGAAGCUACGAAUCGAAGCCCCAGUAAACGGCGGCCGUAACUAUAACGGUCCUAAGGUAGCGAAAUUCCUUGUCGGGUAAGUUCCGACCCGCACGAAAGGCGUAACGAUUUGGGCACUGUCUCAACGAGAGACUCGGUGAAAUCAUAGUACCUGUGAAGAUGCAGGUUACCCGCGACAGGACGGAAAGACCCCGUGGAGCUUUACUGUAGCCUGAUAUUGAAAUUCGGCACAGCUUGUACAGGAUAGGUAGGAGCCUUUGAAACGUGAGCGCUAGCUUACGUGGAGGCGCUGGUGGGAUACUACCCUAGCUGUGUUGGCUUUCUAACCCGCACCACUUAUCGUGGUGGGAGACAGUGUCAGGCGGGCAGUUUGACUGGGGCGGUCGCCUCCUAAAAGGUAACGGAGGCGCUCAAAGGUUCCCUCAGAAUGGUUGGAAAUCAUUCAUAGAGUGUAAAGGCAUAAGGGAGCUUGACUGCGAGACCUACAAGUCGAGCAGGGUCGAAAGACGGACUUAGUGAUCCGGUGGUUCCGCAUGGAAGGGCCAUCGCUCAACGGAUAAAAGCUACCCCGGGGAUAACAGGCUUAUCUCCCCCAAGAGUUCACAUCGACGGGGAGGUUUGGCACCUCGAUGUCGGCUCAUCGCAUCCUGGGGCUGUAGUCGGUCCCAAGGGUUGGGCUGUUCGCCCAUUAAAGCGGUACGCGAGCUGGGUUCAGAACGUCGUGAGACAGUUCGGUCCCUAUCCGUCGUGGGCGUAGGAAAUUUGAGAGGAGCUGUCCUUAGUACGAGAGGACCGGGAUGGACAUACCUCUGGUGUACCAGUUGUCGUGCCAACGGCAUAGCUGGGUAGCUAUGUGUGGACGGGAUAAGUGCUGAAAGCAUCUAAGCAUGAAGCCCCCCUCAAGAUGAGAUUUCCCAACUUCGGUUAUAAGAUCCCUCAAAGAUGAUGAGGUUAAUAGGUUCGAGGUGGAAGCAUGGUGACAUGUGGAGCUGACGAAUACUAAUCGAUCGAAGACUUAAUCAA
This 2921-nucleotide ribosomal RNA is filed under the name Staphylococcus aureus subsp. aureus CIG1114. Its description in RNAcentral is "bacterial LSU rRNA". It matches the Rfam family "Bacterial large subunit ribosomal RNA". The record is from RNAcentral. Lineage: Bacteria; Bacillati; Bacillota; Bacilli; Caryophanales; Staphylococcaceae.